UUAAAUUGAAGAGUUUGAUCAUGGCUCAGAUUGAACGCUGGCGGCAGGCCUAACACAUGCAAGUCGAACGGUAACAGGAAGCAGCUUGCUGCUUCGCUGACGAGUGGCGGACGGGUGAGUAAUGUCUGGGAAACUGCCUGAUGGAGGGGGAUAACUACUGGAAACGGUAGCUAAUACCGCAUAACGUCGCAAGACCAAAGAGGGGGACCUUCGGGCCUCUUACCAUCGGAUGUGCCCAGAUGGGAUUAGCUAGUAGGUGGGGUAACGGCUCACCUAGGCGACGAUCCCUAGCUGGUCUGAGAGGAUGACCAGCCACACUGGAACUGAGACACGGUCCAGACUCCUACGGGAGGCAGCAGUGGGGAAUAUUGCACAAUGGGCGCAAGCCUGAUGCAGCCAUGCCGCGUGUAUGAAGAAGGCCUUCGGGUUGUAAAGUACUUUCAGCGGGGAGGAAGGCGAUAAGGUUAAUAACCUUGUCGAUUGACGUUACCCGCAGAAGAAGCACCGGCUAACUCCGUGCCAGCAGCCGCGGUAAUACGGAGGGUGCAAGCGUUAAUCGGAAUUACUGGGCGUAAAGCGCACGCAGGCGGUCUGUCAAGUCGGAUGUGAAAUCCCCGGGCUCAACCUGGGAACUGCAUUCGAAACUGGCAGGCUAGAGUCUUGUAGAGGGGGGUAGAAUUCCAGGUGUAGCGGUGAAAUGCGUAGAGAUCUGGAGGAAUACCGGUGGCGAAGGCGGCCCCCUGGACAAAGACUGACGCUCAGGUGCGAAAGCGUGGGGAGCAAACAGGAUUAGAUACCCUGGUAGUCCACGCCGUAAACGAUGUCGACUUGGAGGUUGUGCCCUUGAGGCGUGGCUUCCGGAGCUAACGCGUUAAGUCGACCGCCUGGGGAGUACGGCCGCAAGGUUAAAACUCAAAUGAAUUGACGGGGGCCCGCACAAGCGGUGGAGCAUGUGGUUUAAUUCGAUGCAACGCGAAGAACCUUACCUACUCUUGACAUCCAGAGAACUUUCCAGAGAUGGAUUGGUGCCUUCGGGAACUCUGAGACAGGUGCUGCAUGGCUGUCGUCAGCUCGUGUUGUGAAAUGUUGGGUUAAGUCCCGCAACGAGCGCAACCCUUAUCCUUUGUUGCCAGCGGUCCGGCCGGGAACUCAAAGGAGACUGCCAGUGAUAAACUGGAGGAAGGUGGGGAUGACGUCAAGUCAUCAUGGCCCUUACGAGUAGGGCUACACACGUGCUACAAUGGCGCAUACAAAGAGAAGCGACCUCGCGAGAGCAAGCGGACCUCAUAAAGUGCGUCGUAGUCCGGAUUGGAGUCUGCAACUCGACUCCAUGAAGUCGGAAUCGCUAGUAAUCGUGGAUCAGAAUGCCACGGUGAAUACGUUCCCGGGCCUUGUACACACCGCCCGUCACACCAUGGGAGUGGGUUGCAAAAGAAGUAGGUAGCUUAACCUUCGGGAGGGCGCUUACCACUUUGUGAUUCAUGACUGGGGUGAAGUCGUAACAAGGUAACCGUAGGGGAACCUGCGGUUGGAUCACCUCCUUACCUUAAAGAA
This 1554-nucleotide ribosomal RNA is filed under the name Enterobacter hormaechei subsp. oharae. Its description in RNAcentral is "bacterial SSU rRNA". It matches the Rfam family "Bacterial small subunit ribosomal RNA". Lineage: Bacteria; Pseudomonadati; Pseudomonadota; Gammaproteobacteria; Enterobacterales; Enterobacteriaceae. The record is from RNAcentral.